CCACGACAGUUCCGCAAUUCUAGUCUGUUUUGACGUUGUUAAAAGAGCUCUUCAAAGCAACAUACGGAUCCAUAAGCAAGUCAGCGUUCUGCUCACCGAAGCAAACCAGCAGACAAAAUGGCAUCCGACUCUCCACGCAGACCUAGUCGCUGUGCUGGAGGGGUUCUGGUGCGAGCACAAGCUGCUACUGAGCAGUCUUACAUGGAAAGUGUUGUGACCUUCCUGCAGGAUGUGGUCCCCCAGGCAUAUACCGGAGCUCCACUCACUGAUGAAAAAGAGAAGAUAAUUUGGGUUCGAUUUGAGAAAGCUGACGUCAAUGAUACUGCCCGCAAUCCAGAGUUUAUGGAGAUGCACAGUGGUACUACCGACCCUCCUCUUUGCCUCAUGAUUGGCUACACUGACGGGAUGCAGAUCUGGAGCGUAUCUUUGGCAGGGGAAGCCCAAGAGCUGUUCUCAGUGCGCCAUGGUCCUGUGCGAGCUGCUCGCAUUCUGCCAGCACCUCAUAUCAGUCUUCUGAAGACGGACAGUUUUGCCGACAAGAGGCCUUUGUUGGGGGUGUGCAAGAGCACAGGGUCUUCUGGGACAAGCCCUCCCUACUGUUGCGCUGACCUGUAUUCUCUGAGGACAGGGGAAAUGGUCAAAUCAAUUCAGUUUAAGACGGCCAUCUAUGAUCUUCACUGCAACAAACACAUUCUUGUUGUGAGCCUACAAGAGAAGAUUGCAGCAUUUGACAGCUGCACCUUCACUAAGAAGUUCUUUGUUACAAGCUGCUAUCCCUGCCCUGGCCCCAGCCUAAAUCCAAUAGCUCUGGGAAGCCGCUGGCUAGCCUACGCUGAGAACAAGUUGAUCAGAUGUCACCAAUCUCGCGGGGGAGCUUGCGGUGACAAUGCACAGUCCUAUACAGCUACAGUGAUCAAUGCUGCCAAAACAUUAAAGACAGGCCUGACAAUGGUGGGUAAAGUUGUUACCCAGUUGGCAGGCACACUACCAGCAGGCACUCCUGAUGAGGAGGGCACACCUCACAGUGCGAGCCGCCGCAGCCCCCACAAUCCCGGUGUGGUCACCAUCAUUGACACACACAGUGUUGGAGAAGGACAGGUCUUGGUGAGUGAGGACUCAGAUGGAGAGGGAGUGGUGGCUCACUUCCCAGCUCAUGACAAACCCAUAUCCUGCAUGCAAUUCAACCCCAGUGGAAUGCUGCUGGUGACUGCUGACACUCUGGGCCACGAUUUCCACGUCUUCCAGAUUCUCACCCACCCAUGGGCGUCCUCACAAAGCGCCGUUCACCAUCUCUACACUCUGCAUCGUGGGGAAACUGAGGCCAAGGUCCAGGACAUGUGUUUCAGUCAGGACAGUCGCUGGGUAGCCAUCAGCACUCUCCGCGGCACGACCCAUGUAUUUCCCGUCAACCCCUAUGGUGGUGCACCAUGUGCUCGCACGCACAUGUCCCCACGGGUGGUCAACCGGAUGUCUCGCUUCCAGAAGAGUGCUGGCCUGGAGGAGAUUGAACAGGAACUAAACAGGGUGGCUGCAUUAGGAGGAGGAGCUGGUACAGGAGGCACAGGAGGGGGUGGCUGCAUCCUAGGCGGAGGAGGUGGCAUCGGGGGCCGCUGUAGCCCCAUUCCUGGCCUGUCCAGCAGUCCCUCAGGGUCUCCACUGCACGCCAAGCUGUGCAGCCAGGAUUCAUACAACAACUUCACCAAUAACAACAUGGGGAAUCCUCGACUGACCCCGCUGCCCACCCUCACUGUGGUGCUGCCUUUGGCUCAAAUUAAACAGCCGAUGACCCUGGGCACCAUCACCAAACGCACUGGACCCUACCUCUUUGGGGCGGGAUGUUUUGCCAUUAAAACUCCAUGCAAAGUUAAGCCACCCCCUCAGAUUUCCCCAAGCAAGUCCAGUGGUGGAGAGUUUUGUGUGGCUGCCAUUUUUGCCUCGUCUCGCUCCUGGUUCAUCACCAAUCCCAACAUGAAAAGGGACAAAGAUCAGUCCAGACAGUCGGUUGUCGACUCACUGUACAUCAUCAGUUGCUAUGGUAACUUGGUGGAGCAUGUUCUGGAGCCCCGGCCAAUUAGCACUGCUCAAAAAAUUAGUGAUGACACACCUUUGGAGCUCAGCACCUGUCCAAGGGCCUGCUGGAUUCUGGCCAGGACUCCACAGUGGAAUGAGCUGCAACCACCCUUCAACUCCAACCAUCCCCUGGUGUUGGCCUCAGACCUGGUGCAGUACUAUCAGUAUCUUUGGGCUGCGAUGCCCCCAGGAAGUCCAGGCCCAAUCACCCGUCAUGAGUCGUCAGACAGCUUGGCAUCAGACCACAGUGGUCAGGAGGACGAGGAGUGGCUCUCUCAGGUGGAGAUUGUGACCCAUACAGGGCCCCACCGGCGCCUGUGGAUGGGCCCCCAAUUUCAAUUUAAGACUAUUCACCCCUCAGGUCAGACCACAGUCAUCUCCUCCUCCUCCUCAGUCCUUCAGUCCCAGGGCCCCACUGAUGUCCAACAGCCCCUGUUGGACUUUGACACAGAUGACCUGGACUUACACAGCCUGAGGAUCCAACCAGUUCGUUCAGACCCAGUCAGCAUGCCCGGUUCAUCACGGCUGGUGGCUGAUCGUAGAGGACAGUCUAACAUCAUGGACACAGGAUCAGAAUGGGCCAUCCACAAAGGGAGCAGGUCCUUGUUUACGGAGAUCACCAUGUUGCACCACCAUGUUUCUACAGUAGCCCAGGAUGGACAACCAGACACUGGCUCUAGACUGGGACUUGUGUUUUCGCCUCGGCCACCAUAGUUCACAGCCCCUCCGUGACAGGCAACUUCGGAAAAAUAAUGAUGUGAUUUGAAACGGCUUUCUUCAGUAUUUUUACUGGUUUGCAUUAGCUGGUCUGCUUGAUUUGGAGAGGGAGAGACCUCUGUGUAUAAUUCAGCUCCUGGUGAAAACCUACUGAACAAUAAACACUGAAGGAAUUCUAACCAGGAGAAGUGUCAGCUGGUUGCAUUCUGCAAUCCUCACCACUAAAUGCCACUAAAUCUUAUUAAACUGUACACACUAAACCUUUAAGUUACUCACUAAACAAUGCCAAACUUUGUAGGUUCCAGUUUAUUUUCCUUGUUUCAUGUCAUUGUAAAGUGAAGGAGUAUUUUUCACUAUUUUUUGACGUUUUAUUGACAAAAUGUAACUAUUCAAUUAAUUGCAAAAAAUUUGAUAAAUUAAUCCAGAAUUCAAUUACCUUUCUUGUCUCAAUUCAAAUUAUGAUGACACUUCUGAUGACCUCAUUUGUCCGGAGGCUGCAUGAGCUGCUAAAAACAUGCUGUGGCUAAGCUAACAAGACCCUCAGUUCUCCCGCAUCAAUUUGAGUGAAGAAACACAAACCAAGAAACUCUGAACCACCUUCACAACAAAGACUGGAGCAGGAUGUUUCACAGUGGUUUUGGGGAAAAGAAACAGGUUCUAGUUCAUCCUACGUGUUUGAUACAAUAUCCAGGCCUAGAGCCUAACUGAUUGAAUCCAUACACCCUGCAGAACAUCCACGAUAUUUACAGGAGUUUGCUGAUUCGGCUGGUCAGUGGGUUGGCCUCCGACUGCUCCUUGGCUGAAGCGAGAGAUGUGUCGGGCAACCACUUCCUCCAUUGAGGUUUGCUCAUACUGGGGUGCCAGGUCCUUUGGGAUGGGGAUUUUCUGCAUCUCCUCAGCAAAUGGCACUGGGGUUCACAAACACCUCCACAAAGAAGAGCUUCAUCAGGUCAUCUACAGUCUGUUAAAUAUCGCCUUUAAAUAUUGAUUUACUAAAAUGAAGUGCUUCACUGAAUCCAAAUUGCUUGUAUAUAAACUCUUUAUUUAAUUAAAGUGCUGUGUUUUCAUUGAGUGCCAGUCCUCCUGUGAUAUUUCUGUUUCUAAUUGUUUUUCCCAUUUAACUUUAAUACACUCGGUAUUGUUCCCUUUCUGCUUUUGUAGGCCCUGAUAUAGUCUGGAAAUUACGUUUUUAUUGCCCUGUUUGUAAGCAUCAAUUAGGAUAUUUAUAACUGCAUUUUCCUCCUCAGAUAUUCCUGGUCUCUUUUGUAGUAAUCUCUCAUUUGUAAAUGUAUGUAGAAAUCUUUAUUUUCUAAUUCAGAUUCCUUCUGUAGUUCUCUAAAGCAUUAAAUUCAUUCCCCUGAGUCAGUGUACAUAUUUCUGUAAUGCCCUUUUCCCACCAUUGUCUGAAUCUGAUCUCCCUUCAUGUUGCACUCAUUUAUAACUUUUGCCAGAUACUCAGUGUUUGCUUAAUAACUUCAUUAAUUGCUGUUUUGAUGUAGUUUGUUCCCUUUGUCUCCUAAGGUUGCAUGCAUUUGAACAGUUUCUAUAUAGUUUUUUAUAUGUCUUUGCAUUUGGCAUUAUAUUGAGAGCAGGAUGCACAUACCAAGAAUUGCAGUUGUACUACAAAGAGAUCCCUCAGAUUAGGCAAGGAUAAUCCUCCCUCAUCUUUAUUUAGUUGAAGUCUUUUGUACCUGAUCCUUGUUCUCUUACCAGCCCAAAUAAAUCUGGAUAUCCAUUUGUUCCAAAUCUUAAACUGCGUCAUAUCAUCAUAUGUGGAAUAGACUGAAAUAGAUAUAACAGUCUCACAUUCGUAACACAUUCAUUUUAAUCACCUCAGUCCGUGUGCCAAAGUCUAGAGUGAAGGUCGACCACUGUCUGAUACCUUUUUGAACACUGUUUUUGAUUUGGUUAUAAUUUAUUUCAAAUACUGUAUUCAGUUUCUUUGCAAUCACCACAGCUAGAUA
Epinephelus fuscoguttatus (brown-marbled grouper) is the source of this 4751-nucleotide RNA transcript. It is a transcript of the gene named BCAS3 microtubule associated cell migration factor, with no coding region annotated. NCBI's taxonomy places the organism in Eukaryota, Metazoa, Chordata, Actinopteri, Perciformes, Serranidae. The record is from RefSeq and is a predicted model, not a curated record. The transcript is spliced from 26 exons.